GAAUUCGCCCUUAGAGUUUGAUCCUGGCUCAGGACGAACGCUGGCGGCGCGCCUAACACAUGCAAGUCGAACGAGCGAGAGAGAGCUUGCUUUCUCGAGCGAGUGGCGAACGGGUGAGUAACGCGUGAGGAACCUGCCUCAAAGAGGGGGACAACAGUUGGAAACGACUGCUAAUACCGCAUAAGCCCACAGGUCGGCAUCGACCAGAGGGAAAAGGAGCAAUCCGCUUUGAGAUGGCCUCGCGUCCGAUUAGCUAGUUGGUGAGGUAACGGCCCACCAAGGCAACGAUCGGUAGCCGGACUGAGAGGUUGAACGGCCACAUUGGGACUGAGACACGGCCCAGACUCCUACGGGAGGCAGCAGUGGGGAAUAUUGCACAAUGGGGGAAACCCUGAUGCAGCGACGCCGCGUGGAGGAAGAAGGUCUUCGGAUUGUAAACUCCUGUUGUUGAGGAAGAUAAUGACGGUACUCAACAAGGAAGUGACGGCUAACUACGUGCCAGCAGCCGCGGUAAAACGUAGGUCACAAGCGUUGUCCGGAAUUACUGGGUGUAAAGGGAGCGCAGGCGGGAAGACAAGUUGGAAGUGAAAUCUAUGGGCUCAACCCAUAAACUGCUUUCAAAACUGUUUUUCUUGAGUAGUGCAGAGGUAGGCGGAAUUCCCGGUGUAGCGGUGGAAUGCGUAGAUAUCGGGAGGAACACCAGUGGCGAAGGCGGCCUACUGGGCACCAACUGACGCUGAGGCUCGAAAGUGUGGGUAGCAAACAGGAUUAGAUACCCUGGUAGUCCACACCGUAAACGAUGAUUACUA
Molecule: ribosomal RNA, 809 nt
Filed under: uncultured bacterium
Lineage: Bacteria
Description: bacterial SSU rRNA
Rfam family: Bacterial small subunit ribosomal RNA
Source: RNAcentral